CGGGACGUGGCGCAGUUUGGCUAGCGCACCAGUAUGGGGUACUGGGGGUCGGAGGUUCAAAUCCUCUCGUCCCGACCA
Molecule: transfer RNA, 78 nt
Filed under: Actinobacteria bacterium RBG_19FT_COMBO_36_27
Lineage: Bacteria; Bacillati; Actinomycetota
Also listed under: 9 other names
Description: tRNA-Pro
Rfam family: tRNA
About the family: Transfer RNA (tRNA) molecules are approximately 80 nucleotides in length. Their secondary structure includes four short double-helical elements and three loops (D, anti-codon, and T loops).
Source: RNAcentral